Phyllostomus discolor (pale spear-nosed bat) is the source of this 106-nucleotide small nuclear RNA. Lineage: Eukaryota; Metazoa; Chordata; Mammalia; Chiroptera; Phyllostomidae. The record is from RefSeq and is a predicted model, not a curated record.
GUUUGCUCCAGCAGAACAUAUACUAAAAUUGGAACAAUAGAGAGAAGAUUACCAUGGCCCCAUGUGCAAGGGUAACACGCAAAUUCAUGAAGCAUUCCAUAUUUUU